Molecule: long non-coding RNA, 1150 nt
Organism: Spinacia oleracea (spinach)
Lineage: Eukaryota; Viridiplantae; Streptophyta; Magnoliopsida; Caryophyllales; Amaranthaceae
Exons: 8
Source: RefSeq, a predicted model, not a curated record
AUUGGCAAGUACUUUAUAGUUGUUUCACACUUAUUCUAAUAAUAACUCGAUUGCAGCGUGUUACAUUAGAACUUGGGGGUGAAAGUCCUAUUGGUGUUUGAAGAUGUUGAUAUUGAUAAAGUUGUGGAGUGGACUAUAUUUGGUUGUUUCUGAAUGAUUGCCACUUGAUCUUUAUUUCAAGAUAAAAAUGGUGUCGUUGGAGCUUCAGAAGCGGCUCGCCGACGAUAUCCUCAAGUGUGGUCGUGGCAAGGCUUGGCUUGAUCCUAAUGAAGGCAAUGAGAUUUCAAUGGCUAAUUCCCGCCAAAACAUCAGGAAGCUUGUUAAGGAUGGGUUUAUCAUCAGGAAGCCUACCAAUAUUAAUUCGAGGUCUCGAGCUCGUCGUAUGAAUGAGGCAAAGAGGAAGGGUCGUCACUCUGGAUACGCAUUUGAAGAAAGGUUGUUACAUUUAACCCACCAUUGUAACUGAUCUCCACAUCCAUGCAAAUAUGGAAAGAGGAAGUUUUUGGCUCUGUCUUGUGUGUUGAAACAUUUAGUUCUGAAGAUGAAGCCAUUGCAUUGGAAAAUGAUACAGAGUACUGCUGUGUUUUCUAAAGAUAUUGAAAGGUGUGAGAGGAUAACGAAGAUAUGUCAGUGUCAAAAGUGCAGAAUCUAUGACUGCUAUUAGAGUGUCUUUUGCGUCUGUCAGUAUGGGAGACGAAAAGCCCUUUGCCUUAAUCUUCAGUCGCUAAUAGGAAGUAUUUCAACUAAGGAUGCCGACCACAUUAAUAAUAAGGCAGUUGCUUCAAAGUGGAACAAAAUACGCGUGCGCUGUUCGGAGAUCAGAUUACAACAUACAAAGAUGCCCUCCAGCACAAAGGGACUUAUGAAAUCACAGAUGCUCCAAUCCAAUCUGCAGACUAGCAGUGGAAACGAAGCGAAUUUGAGAUGAUAUGAGAAUGUUAGCUGAUUAUGAUAAGCUCAUGCUUUUAUGGUAAUGUUAGCUGAUUGUUAUAAGCUCUUGUUUUAGCUUAUUGUGAUAAACCCUUAUUUUAGCUUAUUGUGAUAAACCCUUAUUUUAGCUUAUUGUGAUAAACCCUUGUUAUUGGCAUUGAAUGUUGAUUGGUACUAGAAUCAUUAUCGUUUGUCCCCUUGAUUAUAUACAGAUUAGUGU